Molecule: ribosomal RNA, 712 nt
Filed under: Pseudomonas sp.
Lineage: Bacteria; Pseudomonadati; Pseudomonadota; Gammaproteobacteria; Pseudomonadales; Pseudomonadaceae
Description: bacterial SSU rRNA
Rfam family: Bacterial small subunit ribosomal RNA
Source: RNAcentral
UGGCUCAGAUUGAACGCUGGCGGCAGGCCUAACACAUGCAAGUCGAGCGGAUGAAAGGAGCUUGCUCCUGGAUUCAGCGGCGGACGGGUGAGUAAUGCCUAGGAAUCUGCCUGGUAGUGGGGGACAACGUUUCGAAAGGAACGCUAAUACCGCAUACGUCCUACGGGAGAAAGCAGGGGACCUUCGGGCCUUGCGCUAUCAGAUGAGCCUAGGUCGGAUUAGCUAGUUGGUGAGGUAAUGGCUCACCAAGGCGACGAUCCGUAACUGGUCUGAGAGGAUGAUCAGUCACACUGGAACUGAGACACGGUCCAGACUCCUACGGGAGGCAGCAGUGGGGAAUAUUGGACAAUGGGCGAAAGCCUGAUCCAGCCAUGCCGCGUGUGUGAAGAAGGUCUUCGGAUUGUAAAGCACUUUAAGUUGGGAGGAAGGGUUGUAGAUUAAUACUCUGCAAUUUUGACGUUACCGACAGAAUAAGCACCGGCUAACUCUGUGCCAGCAGCCGCGGUAAUACAGAGGGUGCAAGCGUUAAUCGGAAUUACUGGGCGUAAAGCGCGCGUAGGUGGUUCGUUAAGUUGGAUGUGAAAUCCCCGGGCUCAACCUGGGAACUGCAUCCAAAACUGGCGAGCUAGAGUAUGGUAGAGGGUGGUGGAAUUUCCUGUGUAGCGGUGAAAUGCGUAGAUAUAGGAAGGAACACCAGUGGCGAAGGCGACCA